RNAcentral lists this ribosomal RNA (491 nucleotides) under uncultured bacterium. Its description in RNAcentral is "partial 16S ribosomal RNA". It matches the Rfam family "Bacterial small subunit ribosomal RNA", at positions 29 to 507 of the family's 1533-position model. The record is from RNAcentral.
AUGCACGCUAGCUACAGGCUUCACCCCUGCAAGUCGCGGGGAAACGACAUCGAAAGCUUGCUUUUGAUGGGCGUCGACCGGCGCACGGGUGAGUAACGCGUAUCCAACCUGCCCAUCACUUGGGAAUAACCUUGCGAAAGUAAGACUAAUACCCAAUGAUAUCCCACGAAGGCAUCGGAAUGGGAUUAAAGAUUUAUCGGUGAUGGAUGGGGAUGCGUCUGAUUAGCUUGUUGGCGGGGUAACGGCCCACCAAGGCAACGAUCAGUAGGGGUUCUGAGAGGAAGGUCCCCCACAUUGGAACUGAGACACGGUCCAAACUCCUACGGGAGGCAGCAGUGAGGAAUAUUGGCCAAUGGGCGAGAGCCUGAACCAGCCAAGUAGCGUGCAGGAAGACGGCCCUAUGGGUUGUAAACUGCUUUUAUAAGGGAAUAAAGUGGGUCACGUGUGACUUUUUGCAUGUACCUUAUGAAUAAGGACCGGCUAAUUCCGUG